GAUUAUGCUCAGGACGAACGCUGGCGGCGUGCUUAACACAUGCAAGUCGAACGAGAAUCUGCGGAAAGAGGAUUCGUCCAAUUGAAGCAGAGGACAGUGGCGGACGGGUGAGUAACGCGUGAGGAACCUGCCUUUCAGAGGGGGACAACAGUUGGAAACGACUGCUAAUACCGCAUAACAUAUAGAUGUCGCAUGGCAUUUAUAUCAAAGAUUUAUCGCUGAAAGAUGG
This 229-nucleotide ribosomal RNA is filed under the name uncultured bacterium. RNAcentral's name for it is "partial 16S ribosomal RNA". It matches the Rfam family "Bacterial small subunit ribosomal RNA", at positions 15 to 228 of the family's 1533-position model. The record is from RNAcentral.